GAUGAACGCUAGCGGCAGGCCUAAUACAUGCAAGUCGAGGGGUAGAAGAGGCUUGCCUCUUUGAGACCGGCGCACGGGUGCGUAACGCGUAUGCAACCUACCUUCAUCUGGGGGAUAGCCCGGAGAAAUCCGGAUUAAUACCGCAUAAAAUCACAGGAUGGCAUUAUCCAAUGAUCAAACAUUUAUGGGAUGGAGAUGGGCAUGCGUGUCAUUAGCUAGUUGGCGGGGUAACGGCCCACCAAGGCGACGAUGACUAGGGGAUCUGAGAGGAUGGCCCCCCACACUGGUACUGAGACACGGACCAGACUCCUACGGGAGGCAGCAGUAAGGAAUAUUGGUCAAUGGAGGCAACUCUGAACCAGCCACGCCGCGUGCAGGAAGACUGCCCUAUGGGUUGUAAACUGCUUUUAUUCGGGAAUAAACCUUAUUACGUGUAAUAAGCUGAAUGUACCGAAGGAAUAAGGAUCGGCUAACUCCGUGCCAGCAGCCGCCGUAA
Molecule: ribosomal RNA, 496 nt
Filed under: uncultured bacterium
Lineage: Bacteria
Description: partial 16S ribosomal RNA
Rfam family: Bacterial small subunit ribosomal RNA
Source: RNAcentral